GACAGAGGUCCCAAGCGUUAGGCGGAAUCACUGGGCUUAAAGCGUGUGUAGGCGGACUUAUUAGUACCUUGUGAAAUCCCACGGCUUAACCGUGGAACUGCUUGGUAUACUGUAAGUCUUGGGCCAUCUAGGGGCGAGCGGAACAAACGGUGGAGCGGUGAAAUGCGUAGAUAUCGUUUGGAACGCCAAUGGUGAAAACAGCUCGCUGGGGAUGUGCCGACGCUGAGACACGAAAGCCAGGGGAGCGAACGGG
Molecule: ribosomal RNA, 253 nt
Filed under: uncultured bacterium
Lineage: Bacteria
Description: partial 16S ribosomal RNA
Rfam family: Bacterial small subunit ribosomal RNA
Source: RNAcentral